This 421-nucleotide ribosomal RNA is filed under the name Bacillus sp. (in: firmicutes). RNAcentral's name for it is "bacterial SSU rRNA". It matches the Rfam family "Bacterial small subunit ribosomal RNA", at positions 27 to 436 of the family's 1533-position model. The record is from RNAcentral. Lineage: Bacteria; Bacillati; Bacillota; Bacilli; Caryophanales; Bacillaceae.
GGAUGAACGCUGGCGGCGUGCCUAAUACAUGCAAGUCGAGCGAACUGAUUAGAAGCUUGCUUCUAUGACGUUAGCGGCGGACGGGUGAGUAACACGUGGGCAACCUGCCUGUAAGACUGGGAUAACUUCGGGAAACCGAAGCUAAUACCGGAUAGGAUCUUCUCCUUCAUGGGAGAUGAUUGAAAGAUGGUUUCGGCUAUCACUUACAGAUGGGCCCGCGGUGCAUUAGCUAGUUGGUGAGGUAACGGCUCACCAAGGCAACGAUGCAUAGCCGACCUGAGAGGGUGAUCGGCCACACUGGGACUGAGACACGGCCCAGACUCCUACGGGAGGCAGCAGUAGGGAAUCUUCCGCAAUGGACGAAAGUCUGACGGAGCAACGCCGCGUGAGUGAUGAAGGCUUUCGGGUCGUAAAACUCUGU